Molecule: ribosomal RNA, 411 nt
Filed under: uncultured bacterium
Lineage: Bacteria
Description: bacterial SSU rRNA
Rfam family: Bacterial small subunit ribosomal RNA
Source: RNAcentral
GAUGAACGCUGGCGGCGUGCUUAACACAUGCAAGUCGAACGGGAAACAUUUUAUUGAAGCUUCGGCAGAUCUAGCUUGUUUCUAGUGGCGGACGGGUGAGUAACGCGUGGGUAACCUGCCUCACACUGGGGGAUAACAGUCAGAAAUGGCUGCUAAUACCGCAUAAGCGCACAGCAUCGCAUGAUGCAGUGUGAAAAACUCCGGUGGUGUGAGAUGGACCCGCGUUGGAUUAGCUAGUUGGCAGGGCAGCGGCCUACCAAGGCGACGAUCCAUAGCCGGCCUGAGAGGGUGAACGGCCACAUUGGGACUGAGACACGGCCCAGACUCCUACGGGAGGCAGCAGUGGGGAAUAUUGCACAAUGGGGGAAACCCUGAUGCAGCGACGCCGCGUGAAGGAAGAAGUAUCUCGGU